UACGGAGGGUGCAAGCGUUAUCCGGAUUCACUGGGUUUAAAGGGUGCGUAGGUGGGCUGGUAAGUCAGUGGUGAAAUCUCCAGGCUUAACUUGGAAACUGCCAUUGAUACUAUCAGUCUUGAAUACCGUGGAGGUCAGCGGAAUAUGUCAUGUAGCGGUGAAAUGCAUAGAUAUGCCAUAGAACACCAAUUGCGAAGGCAGCUGGCUAGACCUGGAUUGACGCUGAGGCACGAAAGCGUGGGGAGCGAACAGG
RNAcentral lists this ribosomal RNA (253 nucleotides) under uncultured bacterium. RNAcentral's name for it is "partial 16S ribosomal RNA". It matches the Rfam family "Bacterial small subunit ribosomal RNA", at positions 524 to 776 of the family's 1533-position model. The record is from RNAcentral.